AACGAACGCUGGCGGCAUGCCUAACACAUGCAAGUCGAACGAGACCUUCGGGUCUAGUGGCGCACGGGUGCGUAACGCGUGGGAACCUGCCCUUAGGUUCGGAAUAACUCCCCGAAAGGGGUGCUAAUACCGGAUAAUGUCUUCGGACCAAAGAUUUAUCGCCUUUGGAUGGGCCCGCGUUGGAUUAGCUAGUUGGUAGGGUAAAAGCCUACCAAGGCGACGAUCCAUAGCUGGUUUGAGAGGAUGAUCAGCCACACUGGGACUGAGACACGGCCCAGACUCCUACGGGAGGCAGCAGUGGGGAAUAUUGGACAAUGGGCGAAAGCCUGAUCCAGCAAUGCCGCGUGAGUGAUGAAGGCCUUAGGGUUGUAAAGCUCUUUUACCCGGGAUGAUAAUGACAGUACCGGGAGAAUAAGCGCCGGCUAACUCCGUG
Molecule: ribosomal RNA, 433 nt
Filed under: uncultured bacterium
Lineage: Bacteria
Description: partial 16S ribosomal RNA
Rfam family: Bacterial small subunit ribosomal RNA
Source: RNAcentral